This 380-nucleotide RNase P RNA is filed under the name Bacteroidota bacterium. Its description in RNAcentral is "Bacteroidetes bacterium (activated sludge metagenome) RNase P RNA component class A". It matches the Rfam family "Bacterial RNase P class A". From Rfam's summary of the family: Ribonuclease P (RNase P) is a ubiquitous endoribonuclease, found in archaea, bacteria and eukarya as well as chloroplasts and mitochondria. Its best characterised activity is the generation of mature 5'-ends of tRNAs by cleaving the 5'-leader elements of precursor-tRNAs. The record is from RNAcentral. Lineage: Bacteria; Pseudomonadati; Bacteroidota. RNAcentral also lists the same sequence under 1 other name.
UCUGCAGGCCGGCCUGUCGUGCUAAUUCUUAAUUGUUAUUAGUGAGGAAAGUCCGGAUAACAAAGAGCGCCGCACCACCUAACGGGUGGCUGCAAUGUUUCGACAUUGUGCGAGAAAGUGCCACAGAAAAUAACCACCUGAUGCAAAUUGGGAAAGGGUGAAAAUGUGAGGUAAGAGCUCACGAUAAUAAGUAGCAAUAUUUGUUAUGGGUAAACCUUGCGGGUUACAAUGCCAAAUAUGCCGGAGUUUUCCGUUUCGACGGAAAAGAGGAUUGCUCGUCCGAAUCUCCGGUGGGUAGGCAGCAGGAGCUAUGCAGUGAUGUAUAGCCUAGAUAAAUGACAGGAUUGAAACAGAAUCCGGCUUAUGAGCCUGCAGAUUUU